CGCCGCCGGUCCCCCCUAGCGGGGGGUUAAAAGGGAAUCCGCAGUGCUUUUUCAGCACCCAACGGAACUGCCCCCGCAACUGUAGAUGACGAGCCUGCUCCAAGAUUGCCACUGGGAUACCCCCCGGGAAGGCUGGAGCAAGCGAUGACCCAUCAGUCAGGAGACCUGCCGGCAAAG
Molecule: non-coding RNA, 177 nt
Filed under: Pseudomonas bubulae
Lineage: Bacteria; Pseudomonadati; Pseudomonadota; Gammaproteobacteria; Pseudomonadales; Pseudomonadaceae
Source: RNAcentral